AAAAAAAUGUAUGUGCAAAAGCGACUCGAAGACGAUUUAGAUUUGUCUCCUGAAUAUAAAACUUCCAAGAAGUACAUCAUAUAUGAAUAUCCUGUAUCCUCGCAUUUGAUGUAUCGAACUGGCGAUAGAAUGAAAUCAGUCAGUGUUAAAAAUGUAUGUGUAAAAGCGACUUUAAGAUGAUGGAGAUUUGUACACUGAACAUAAAACUUCCAAAAUUUGGGGCAGUAUG
Ctenocephalides felis (cat flea) is the source of this 229-nucleotide long non-coding RNA. RefSeq lists it as uncharacterized. NCBI's taxonomy places the organism in Eukaryota, Metazoa, Arthropoda, Insecta, Siphonaptera, Pulicidae. The record is from RefSeq and is a predicted model, not a curated record. The transcript has 3 exons.